UACAGAGGUUGCAAGCGUUAUCCGGAAUGAUUGGGCGUAAAGGGUGCGUAGGCGGUCGGGUAAGUCUGAUGUGAAAUCUCACAGCUUAACUGUGAAACUGCAUUGGAUACUAUCCGGCUCGAGGAAUGGAGGGGAGACUGGAAUACUUGGUGUAGCAGUGAAAUGCGUAGAUAUCAAGUGGAACACCAGUGGCGAAGGCGAGUCUCUGGACAACUUCUGACGCUGAGGCACGAAAGCUAGGGGAGCAAACAGG
This 253-nucleotide ribosomal RNA is filed under the name uncultured bacterium. RNAcentral's name for it is "partial 16S ribosomal RNA". It matches the Rfam family "Bacterial small subunit ribosomal RNA", at positions 524 to 776 of the family's 1533-position model. The record is from RNAcentral.